GGGAGCUCGGCGAGGCGGAUACAUGGUCGGGAUGAGUCAUCAGAUGUGGAGAUGGUGGUCCUCAGGUAUUGAAUAUUGAGAGGGGUGUUGGCAAUGGUGAUGGUGAAGCCAGUUCUUUGCUGAAUUUGCUUAGCUAGAGCUAGGAAAGGUAUGAUAUGGCCCUGGGCCAUGAAAGGGAGCAUCACUAUAUGUUCCUGCUGAGAACCCAUCUUGUGAUUUCUCCUAUGGGUGUAGCUGACGGUCCUGAGACUUGGUGUUCUAUGACUCUGAAGUUUUGUACGGGUAAAGAACCUUUUUUCUGGCUCUGGUGGGUGGUGAUGAAAUAGAGACUAAAGGAUAAAUGCCGAGACAUAAAAAUACUAGAAUAUUAAGGGGCCUUCUUGAAGCAUGGAAACCUAUUCUUUUGUCGUGUGGUGGCGGGGAAUCGGUGAUAGCCGGCUUAUACAAUAUCAGAGAGUAUGUUUGGACAUGAGUGCAUUGAUAGUGAUUUCAGGAAUUCCUUCUAAUUUUUUUAAAUAUUUAAAAGUUUUCAUUAAAAGAAUUGAUUUCAAAAACACAUUUCACAGUUUUACCGUAGAUGAGGAAAGGGAAUAGAUGUCCGAUUCCUCCCUCCCCUCAUUCCCAUGUUUCGGGAUACAUUUUAGGGAGAAUUAUGUUUUGGGGGUAGAUGGGGCCCCAAAUUAAUAAAAGGUCCAUAUAACUCUUUAAAUUGAGUUGAAGGAUAUGAAAUAGUAAUGGACAAAUAUACCCUUAAAAAAUAUAUAUAAAAUAUUUUAUAAAAUUAAGUUAAAUAAAUUUUUUUUAAUAUUUUUUUUUUCAAAAAUACUAAAUUAAAUAAAAGUAGUUUUCAAAAAUAUAAAAUUAAAUAAUUUUUUUUUCAAAAAUAUUAAAUUAAAUAAAAGUAUUUAAAAAAAAAUUAAAUUAAAUAUUUUUCAAAAAUAUUAAAUUAAAUAAAAGUAUUUUUAAAAAAUUAAAUAUUUUUUAAAAAUAUUAAAUUAAAUAAAAGUAUUUUUUAAAAAUAUUAAAUUACAUAAAAGUAUUUUUAAAAAAUAAUAAAUUAAAUAAAAAAUAUUUUUUAAAUAUGUUUUUUUCUCAAAAUCAACAAAGGGCAUUUUUGAAAAUAUUGAAGGAUAAUAUCCUUCAACUCAAUUUCCAUACUUUCGUUGGGUCUUGGACUCAAUUUGAAGGGUUAUAUGGACCUUUUGUUAAUUUGGGGGUCCAUCUAGCUCCAAAACAUAAUUCUCUCUAAAUUUUAUUAAGAUAGUAAUGAAAAAAAAAAUAAUUUCAAUAAAAUUCAAAUCCCAUUUAUAAGUAAAAUUUUAAUUUAUUGUAAUUAAGUAGUAUUUUGAUUCAUUUAUCCAUGAGAAAAUAUAAAAUAGUUUGAAAUUAUUAUUUUACCCUUGAAUUUCAUUCAUCAAACUUCCACGUCUCGUCUCUUCUCCCAUAAUGAGACUAUUUUUUUAGUCUUCUUAUUAUUUAGUAACAAAAAAAAAAAACUCUUAAAAUUUAUUUUUUAAACAAUAAAAAAAAAAAUAAUUUAAACUAUGUGUAAGGAAAUUAUUAUCAAUUUUUUUCUUUUUCAUUCUCAUUCCUAUUAUUACCAAACAUUAGAAUAUAAAUAAAUAAUCAUUCUAAUAUUAAAUUAUUAGUUUUAUCCAAACACUAGAAAUAAAAUCACUAAAUUCAUUUUCAUUUACAAAGAAAAAAAUAAAAAAUAUUCGUUUCCAUUAUCUAUUCCUAUGUACCAAAAUAGUAUUUUUAUAUAGUAUUUCUAAAAAAAUUAUCUAUCAAAUGUUUUUUCUUAAAGAAGUAUUACAAAUGAUUUUUUUAUUUUUUAAAAUCAUUUUUUUUUAAUUUUAUUAACUUCUAUUUUUUUGUUUUAAAAUAUUUUUUUUUGUAUUAAAAUAUGUUUAAAAAUAUACUACCAAACCUUGUUAGGGAUGUGAAUGGGGGUUGGGAGAUUCAAGAUGUACUACACUUUUGGGACUUUAUGCUUGAAAGAAAAUAAUGUGUGGUUGCAGUUGUGGUGUUGCUGAAGCUCAUUAAUGCCUUCACGCACUUAAAAGCUAUUCUUUCGCUUAUGUCCAUAUACAACCAAUGGCGUGUUUACUUUGAAUUAAGGAAAAAGGGACUCAUUUUCUUAAUUAGUGUUUAAUUUUUUAAUUGAUUAAAAAAAGUAAAAAUAUUUGAUUUUAUUUUUUAUUAAAUUAAAAAUAAACUAUUAACAUCUACCAAUAUAACUAAUCGAACAUAUGGAUAAAAAAUUCAUUUUAAUUCUAUUGAUUAAUAUCAUUAAAUUAUUUUUAAUUAAAUAUUUCAAUUUUUUUUAUUCAAUUAAAAAACAAACACCACUUUAAUCUUAUUCUAUUCCAUCCUAUCUUUCCAAUUUUGGAAUCAAAAGAUAUGUUCCCAAAUUAGAGAGUAGAUUUUAUUUUAUUUUUUAAUUUUUUGUUUAAAGGUAAUCAUUUCGAAACGUUGGGGAAAAAGUAAUUUAAACUUACUCCACCCUGUCCACAAAUUUAACAAUAUAUAUAUUUUAAUUUUUCUUCCAUUAAUACUUUUAGGUAAAAGGUGAAGUGUACAUGCCAUAAAUGCAACAACAAUCAAUUUAAUGGUUACAAAUAUGGAACUCAAUUGGUGGGUACCAUUGAUAGAAGCCUUUUCAAUCUAUUAAAGUUUUCGACUUAUUUAAAGAUGGGUUGUUUGAUUAAAAGGCGGUAGAAACCAAUUUUGAAAAUCUAAUCUCCCAUUAUUUUUUUAUUAUAUUAUAACAAAAAUGUCCUUAUUUUUAAAAAUCUAAAAAUUGAAAGUUGUAAAAUAAUUACAAAAUUAUCUCCCCUUCUAAAAAUGAUAUUAAUUUUUUUGUUAUUUAAAUUUUAAAAAUAUAUUAUAUAUAUUUAUGAUGUCCUUUUAAUAUUAUAGUUUGGUCAUGAUUGAAGUAAAUGACUAGCUAAUAAUCUAAAACUCCAACAACUUUCUUUAAGGACAAUUUCAACCAAGGAUGAAAAUAUUGAUAAUUACAGAUAUAUCGGUCUUUUGAUUUUACGGAAAUAUUAGAGAAAUAUCGGUUAUAAGAAUGCUUGGAAAAACUCCAAAAAAUAAUAAAAUAAGCAAGAAUAUACAUUUUAAAGUUAUUUUGUAGGUGUAAUUGAUAUAAAUAUGAUCAAGAAGAAAAACAUCGGUAGACAGAGAUAUAUCGUUUCACACCGAUAUAUCGUUAAUAUUUUGGCGAUUUUCCCUAUAUUUUUAUGAUAUUCCUCCCGUUCGAUAAUCUGUGCUCAAAAUCAUUUCGAGACCGUCUGAUAUAUGAUAUAUCGGUGAUAAAAACCGAAAUUGCAAUCCAUGAUUUCAACUUCAAGGGGCAAAAUUAUUUUCUUUUUCACAAAUAUUUUGAGUGUAUUUCAUUAGUCUCAAAUCUAGAAAGGGUCAUUCAUAAACUAUUUAAAGAACCAAAAAAAAAAAAAAAAGUUCAAAAAAGGAGAUUGAAGUUAAUUUUUUUACUUAUUUUAUUUGGGAAUUCAAAAUUCAUAAAAAUUUCAAGCUCAAACUCUUGAUCUUUUAAUCAUCAUAAUUUAAUUACUAUACUCCUAACAUAAUAACAAUGUUAUCAUCAUAACGAUUCUAUUAUACAAUAGUAAUUAAAUUAUUAGAGUUUUGUGACCUGAAUUCUAUUUGAUCUAACCCAAAAAGUUCAUGAUGCGACAUAUAUAGUGAAGAAAAAUAAUGAGAUUUUUUGGGGGUCUAUAGUGGUAGCGGAAGGAUCGGGCCAAUAUAUAUAUAUGCGAUGAUGUAUAGGAUUUAUGAUUAUGAUGUUUAUGCCUAUAUAUAUACGAUGAUGUAUAGGAUUUAGGGUUAUGAUAUUUAUGCCUAUGCAAUAGUUACUCGCAUCUCUCAUCUCUUGUAUUAAUUUUUGACAUACUGAAUUUUCUUCUUCUUUGUUCGUGGUUUUUCCCAUCUAAGGUUUUCCACGUAAAAUUGUGUAUUGUUAUUAUGUUUAAUUUCUUAUUACCUAUUCUUGUUCUUUCAUAACAUAAUUCUUAUAUGAUGAUGAUGAUCGAAUUGAUCGGGUUUGGUUGGAUUUGGAUCACUAAAACCAAACCACCUGUAAUACUAAAUUAAUCAUUGGUUUGCCAUCUUCACAAACCUAAAUAAUUGGCAAUUGAUAGGAAAAAAGCAAUUGACUACCUACAACGAAUUCUCGGUAAUCUUAAUUUUUGUUGUUGAAAUAAUUCAAUGCAAUAAACCAUCCUUGGCCUACCAAAAUAUACAGUUUUUCCUUCCAAGUUCAAUAUAGCCAAGUGUUUUAAAAAAUCAGUAUUUCAGACAAAAGCAAAAAUGCUACAUCAAUCUAACAGCUCCUUCAAAAUAAUUUUCAAGAUAAAUGUCCUAGAUUUGUCCUUUGGAGAACAGAAUCAGAGCUAUUACAGUCCAGUUCAAUUCAUUCACUGAUAUUUCAAGCAGACAACAAUAUCAUUGAAUUGUUAACUAUACACAUUAUAUAUAGAAUAACAAUUCAGUUCAAUUUAUUCACAGAUAAAAAGGUUAAAUGUUUUCAUUAUGGAAGAUUAGGACACAUAGCUACAGAUUGCCCUAGUCCAAAAAAUGCUAAGAAAGCAAUGCAAGUGACUUAGAGUGAUUCUGAGUAGAGUGAAAGUGAAUCUUCAAACUCAAGAGAAGCAAGAAUGAUCAAAAUGAUGACUUUAUUGCUUUUGUUGCAUCAAUUAAUUUCGAUUUUGAUCCUAUGAUUGAUAUAAAGUCUAAUGAUGAUUCUAAAUGUUCGUUUGAUAGUAUACAUGAUGCUUAUGAAGCCCUACUUGAAUGAAGUCUAAAAUUCAAGGUUGAAAAUGUGAAAUACAAAAGAAAAAAUGAAAAAGAAAAAUAGGGCUUCAGAGAUAAAUAAUUUGAAUGAAUCCCUUAGAUUGGAAAAUUCCAACCUUCUCAAAGAAAUUACAACAUUUAUAUAUAAGAUGAAAAGAUGAAAAAAGAACUUAUAUUGUAAAAAGAAAAAGACACCCAAAUGUUGAAUUGUUGAACAAUUUGAUAAAUUCAUGUAUGUCUUUUGAUGAUAAAAGAGGUCUAUGAUGUCUUGAUCAGUCAACUAAUCAUACUAAUGCAAAGCAUAACUUUGUUAAGGCUAAAUAGGGAAUUCUUAUUGUCUAAUACCCAAUAGGUUCAUUUACACAAGCUCGUUUUGUCAUAAGAUUGGUUAUACUAAUGAUAGGUGUCAUAUUAGAAAGUUUGAAGAGUUCCAUGGGCAAAAUUAGCAAGCUUGUAGUUGAGUUUAAAGCAUCGAGAGACAAAAUCUUAUUUAAUAGAAAAAAAAGAAAAACUGUUCAAUGGGUUGCAAAAGCUCACACCAAGCUAAAUAUAGUAUGAAUAUUCAUGAUUUCCAUCUUGGUAAUCAAAUUCAUCUUUUAGGGUCCUUAAACUAGGCAAAAUUGAUUUAGGAAAGAUGACCAAGUUAAGCUUUAGAGUAAAGGCUUUGCCAUGUCAAAAGUCAUUCCCUUAGAUUCUUUUAAGACUUUGUUUCUUAGGAAAUAAUUAGGAGUUUUCUCUUCUUCAUAGCACAUUUUGUUUCAUAGUCUAAGGUCUUGUCUUAGUAUUGUAUUUUUAUUCCCAGUGUUAUGUCUAUUUUAGUCCUUAGAGUUUUUCUAGUUAUGUUUUCUUUAUAGAACUUCGUUGUUAGUAUGCUAUUCUUAACUUGAUUGAGUCUAGAUCAUGAAUUUAUGGGAAGUGUUCUUGGUUAUUUCUUGGAGCAAUGUCAUAUGCUUGAUCCAAGAUGAUUGAUUGAGGGGAAUCAUUCUUUUAGGUUCUAGGUUCAUUACAUUUCAUGCUUAUAUUUUGGUGAAAAUUGUUGAUUACUUAAUUAAUUAUUAUUUUCUUAAAUGGUUUAAGUUAUUUUUUUUUUAUUUUGUUAUUCUUUGAAAAGUUCAUCCUUAUAUCAAUUAUACUUGGGGAUCACUUUUAAUUUUUUUUUUUUAAAAAAAAAACUAAAAACGAAGUAAAUAGGGAAUUUGAUUUGGUUAUGCUAUAAGAUCUUCUAUUAAUCUUAAUGAAAAAGAGAUUUCAAAUUCAAGGAUUCAUAACAUCAUGCUUAUUUCAAUAUAACUUGCCAUAUCAUAUUUGAUAUAGUUCAAAACUUAGAUUUGAAGUGAAAAAGGUUACCUUAGUUAAAUUAAUAUUACAUAUCCAUAAACUAAGAGUGAAAGCCAUCAAGAUACUUGGGAAAACCCCUUUGUGGAAUGGCUAAAUAUUCAUCAAAGAUAAUUUUUUAUAUUUAUGAUUAAAGUUCUCUACCUUCAAAAUCAAUAAAAAUAAAAAUAAUCAAUUAAUGGGGAAUAAUUAAAUUUAUGCUUUCAAUAUCAACACAUCAUCAUGUUAAACAGAAAUCUAGUCGAACUAUUUUCAAAUUGAAUGAGUUUUUAAUUGAUUUAAAAACAAACAUGAUCUAGCUAAUUAACAAAUUGAAUUUAUAAAUUGAAUUACUUUAUUCAAACAUUAGGCAAACGACCUUGAUAUUAACUAUUUUAGUUGAUAUUAUUUUUUGUUAUAUCUUAUUGGUUGUUGAAAAGUUUUAUAGUCUAAUUUGUCAUUAAUUUGCUUUUCUAAAUAGUUUUUGCAAAGAAUUUAGAUAAUCUAAAUUCAAUUUCGUGAGUUGUACUUGGGUUAUUUGUGAUAAUUAUAAUAUGUUAAUCUUCGACAAUAUUUUGAGAGUUAUUGACAUAAGAAUUAACAUCUUUUGUGUCUAUAUGUUUUCUUUGGACUUGUAGAUGAAUUUUGCGGAAUUUUAUAUCAAGGAGGACAUUUUGGGCUAUCCAAGGACAUCUCAAGCAUUUAAAAAGCUUGAAGAAUGUGUGAAAAAGGACUAAAAGUAAGGAAGCCUUUCAAACCCUACUUAAGUUGCAUCAAACACCCACACCUUUCCUCAUCUAUAAAUGCAUAUUUUCAUUCUUUCUGCAUACAUUGGUCUUUCUUGCUUUCUUUACUCAUCUUUGUCAUUUUUAUGACAAAAUAAGGAAAAUGAUUGAUGUGUAAAAAUGAUUACGAUGGAUAUUUAUUAUUUAUUUACAUUCUUGAUGAUAUUAUGAUCAUGUUGAUUUAUUUUGAUGAUUGACAUUUGAUGUUGAUACAUGAUUAUUUAUUAUUUGGAUUAUAACAAUUACCUUUAUCACAUAGUAUAUGGUUUAUAAAGUUUUUCCACGUAGUGUUCUUUGUGGGCAUUUUUGUUUAAGAAUGUGCAUGCAAGUCGUGGGUUUUCAGGACUUUUCAAAAUUCAUUGCGUAAUAAUUGAAGAUUAUAGUUUAGGAUGUUUGGUUUAGACUUGAAAAUUAUUGAGUGACAUUUUAACUUUAUUUGAGAAUAUUGAGAGGUUUAUGUAAAUUAUUUUCUCUCAAAAUUAUUGAAGGGGAAGAUUAUUAGUGUACUAGAUCGACAAACUAUUUUAGGUUGACAAUUAAUUUUGUUCCAUACAUUCUUGGAUUCUAACCUAUAUACAUCUCAAGUUUUACAUUGGCCUUGAAGACUUGAAAUCAUAGUAUAUUCAUUAACAACAUAGAUUAUGUAAGUGUUAUUGAGUUACUAAGAUAAUGACAUAAUUAUGGCAUAUAGUGGAGUAAUGUUUAAGUUGGGCAAGAAAAUUGAAUUUGAAAAAAAAAAAAAUCUUUCUCAAUCUUUCUAAACUUCUCUAUGCUAGCAAAUCCAUUUUUGUGAAGAUUUAAUUCCAAAUUAGUAUAGAUUUGAAAAUCUUUUCAAAAUUCACCAAGUUUUGAAAUCAUUUUUAUAAAGAUUUGUUCCUAAAAUUUGCUCAAUCUAUUUGAGCUAUUAUCUUAUAAAUAUAUUUAUUGGUUGUGCUAUAUAGCAACCUUGCACCCAAGAGUUUAUUGUCAUUAUCCUUGCACAUUUUCACACGAUCAAACUCAAAUCUUAUUUGAAUUUGCUCAUGAUGGUUGAUUGUGCCCCUUCAAGUUGUUUAGACAUUCACUAAGAAGGAAGAGUUGUGUUAUGCAUGCGAGAACAAGUGUAGAUUGUGACAAUGUAAUUCUCAAGGAUAAUAAUGACUUACAGGUAAAUCUAUGUACUCAAUCUUUUUAUAUAUAUUUCAUGGAUUUAAGUUUAUGGUUUAUAUCUUCGUGGGGUCUUUGAGAAGCUUAAUGAAGGUCCAUGAUUAGAAGUUUAUGGAUUAAUUCAUUGUUAAUAUCCUAAUCAAAUAACUUAUAAAAAUUAAAAAUUUAUUUAUUUUUGGCUAAUAUAUAAUUGAGGAUUAUCACCGCCUCUGGCCAGUUCCAUGAUACUUAAUCUCAAACUUUCACAUUCAUCACAAAGCUAAUUAUAUCCUCAAAAAAUUUAUAAAGUUUGUUGGAAUUUUUAUAUAGGUGAAAGGAAAUUAGGACACAUCUUUCCCUAAUGGAUACUACAUAUUUCAAAUGAUGUCUCUAGUAUAAGUGAAUGAAAAUUAGGAUACAUAUUUUCCUAAUGGAUACUACAUAUUUCAAAGGAUGUGUCUAGUACUUUAAAAACACAUAUCUUCUAAUAAGUCACUGACAAAUCUAUAAAUAGGACUCCUAUGAAAUUUCUCAUUCAUUUUUCAUUCAAUUAUUUAUCUAUACUCUCCACUCUUUCUCCUCUUUUGUCAUUUAAAACAUUCAAGUCCUCUUUUGCUUCAAGUUUAGUAAUUUCUCAUUUCGAUCGAAUAUUUGAUAUUAAAGAGAGUACAAACUACUAAGUGAUUCAUUGUUUCUUGUGAUUUAAAGUACUACUAUCACAAAAAAGUUAUUAUUAUAUCAUGGGAGACGAUGGUUAAUAGACCAUAAGCACCUAAGUGAAACAAAUUAGUUUUAAGGACAUAGAGUCAAAAUCUAGCCUCGAUCAAUUUUAUUUGUGAGUUUCAAUUUUCUAUUUACUUUGUAUAGAUUUGAAAAUCUUUUCAAAAUUCAUCGAUUUUUCAAAUCAUUUUUAUAAAGAUUUGUUCCUAAAAUUUGCUCAAUCUAUUUGAGCUAUUAUCUUAUAAAUAUAUCUAUUGGUUGUGCUAUAUAGCAACCUUGCACCCAAGAGUUUAUUGUCAUUAUCCUUGCACAUUCCCACACAAUCAAACUCAAAUAUUAUUUGAAUUUGCUCAUGAUGGUUGAUUGUGCCCCUUCAAAUUGUUUAGACAUUCACUAAGAAGGAAGAGUUGCGUUAUGAAUGUGAGAACAAGUGUAGAUUGUGACAAUGUAAUUCUCAGGGAUAAUAAUGACUUAUAGUUAAAUCUAUGUACUCAAUCUUUAUAUAUAUAUUUCAUGGAUUUAAGUUUAUGGUUUAUAUCUUCGUGGGGUCUCUAAGAAGGUUUAUGAAGGUCCAUGAUUAGAAGUUUAUGGAUUAAUUCAUUGUUAAUAUCCUAAUCAAAUAACUUAUAAAGAUUAAAAAUUUAUUUAAUUUAUGCUAAUAUAUAAUUGAGGAUUAUCACCGCCUCUGGGCAGUUCCAUGAUACUUAAUCUCAAACUUUUACAUUCAUCAUUAAGCUAAAUAUAUCCUCAAAAAAUUUAUAAAGUUUGUUGGAAUUUUUAUAUAGGUGAAUGGAAAUUAGGACACAUUUUUCCCUAAUGGAUACUACUUAUUUCAAAUGAUGUGUCUGAUAUAGGUGAAUGGAAAUUAGGAUACAUAUUUUCCUAAUGCAUACUACAUAUUUCAAAGGAUGUGUUUAGUAUUUUAAAGGCACAUCUCUUCUAAUAAGUCACCAACAAAUCUAUAAAGAGGGAGUCCCAUGAAAUUUCUCAUUCAUUUUUUAUUUAAUUAUUUAUCUAUUCUCUCCCCUCUUUCUCCUCUUUUGUCAUUUAAAACAUUCAAGUCCUCUUUUGUUUCACGUUUAGUAAUUUCUAAUUUCUACCAAAUAUUUAAUAUUCAAGAGAGUAGAAAUUACUAAGUGAUUCAUUGUUUCUUAUGAUUUAAAGUGCUACUAUCACAAAAAAGUUAGCAUUAUAUCAUGGGAGACGAUUGUUAAUAAACCAUAAGCACCUAAGUGAGACAAAUUCAUUUUUAGGACAUAGAGUCAAAAUCUAACCUCAAUGAAUCUCAUUUGUCAGUUUCAAUUUUCUAUUUGCUUUAUGUUAUUUAUAUAUUUAUUGUCUACACUUAUUAUCCAUAUAUUUUUCGGUGAUUUGGAUAACAAAGUUAAGGUCUCUCUCAAGGGAAUAAACCUUUACAUUUAAUAUAUGAUUGAGAAUUGUAAAAAACGCCUAUUGCUCUAAAUACACUAGAGCUUGAGGAAUAUAUGUCACCAUUUUGGACCCUCAAAGGAUUCACUUUGAGCCCCAUCUUUCGAGAUGCUCUCAUAAUCUCUAAAAUAUCGCCCAACCGAACCAAGAAGAAAUGAACAUAAAUAAAAAGAUAAAGAGGAUUCUAGUUUGUAAAAUGAAAGAUGACCAUCUUUCUAUGGAAUAUUUUAGCCAAAAAGAAAGAAAGAAAGAAACUCUGUUUCUCUUAUUCUAAAAUAAGUAAGUUUAUUCAUAGUUAUUCAACCAAGAAGAUCCUCAGUAGCCUUGUCUCUUGGAAAGCAUUGUGGAGACAAAAUCAUCCAUUGCUUUCAGAGAAGACCCUUCCUCUCUCAUUGCAUCUCUUAUCUUCUCUCCAAUCUCUGCUGCUUUCUUCUUCAUCUCCUCUGCUUUCCCUUUACUGUCCAUAACCAACUCUAUUACUCUCUUCACCUCCUUCCUCACCACUGCACCCUGCAGUCCUCUUGUCAACUCCACAGCCACUCCCAUGUCCUCCACCAGCAUUUUGGAGUUAUAGCAUUGCUCUGCAGCCAACGGCCACGCUAUUAUUGGAACUCCCACACAGAGGCUUUCCAUCACUGAGUUCCAUCCGCAGUGGCUGAGGAAGACCCCAGUUGAUUUGUGUGAUAGGAUCUCCAAUUGGGGUGCCCAGUUGUGGACAAUCAGGCCUUGGUUUCUAUCAGCCAUUCGCUGUUCGAACUUUUCUGGUAACCAUUCUGCUCGAAACUCACCUUUUAUGUCGAAACCAACUGGAGGCCUAAUCACCCAGAUGAAGGGUUUCCCGCUGUCCUCCAAGCCCAUGGCUAGCUCCAUCAUCUGAGACGGACUAAUAGUGUUCUGUGAACCGAAGGAGAUGUAAAGAACUGAACUUUGUGGAUGUUUGUCCAGCCAUUCCAGGCAUUUCUCAGGAGACACUCCAGGCACUUUCCAGGCUCGUUGCCCGAAGAUGCUACCCGAGGAAGGUGAAUGAUUGAGCAGAGCUGGAGGGAGAAGAGGUCCUAUGGUCCACACAGGAAGCUUUACAUAGUUUCUAAAUAUCUCCAGGCCUUGAGGCUCAAUCUCCUCAGCUGUGUUACACAACCACCCUGAAGACUUUAAAGAAUUUGCUAGCAUAGGCUGGAAAUACCUAGACCAAACAUCGGUUCCGUCAGCCACUCUCAGGUACUGAUGAAGCUGAGUGAUGUGGAAGCGGCAGGAAUCAGGAAACCCUGGCACCGCAAAGUAAUCAGAUUCUGUGGCGCGAUGUGGGAGGUUCUGCCACAAAGACAUGUAGGCUGCAGUGCCAUAGGCGCCACCGGUGGUGAAUGUGACAUUGGCAGUGCCUAAACUCUUGGCAACUUCCGUGGCCCAUCCAAAGAACACAUCAGAUAUUAUGCAAAGAGGAGGCCUGCCUUCUUUCUCAAUGAUCCCAGAAACAAGGCUGUGAAAAGGAGCUUGGAGAGAAUUGGAGGCGUGGAAAAAGGUCACAAACUGUUGAAGAGACAAGGAUUCAGUGUUCUCAGUGUGGGGCGGGAGGCCAUGAUCAGAGCCGCAGAAUGGAAGUUCGGCGAGGCGGAUACUCGGUUGGGAUGAGUCAUUUGAUGUUGUGGAGAGGGUGGUUCUGAGGUGUUGGACAUUGAGAGGGGUGUUGGCAAUGGUGAUGGUGAAGCCAGUUCUUUGCUGAAUUUGCUUAGCUAGAUGUCACAAGCUGACCCAAAUGAGCCUCCCCAUAGCCUUAUAUAGGGCCAGGAAGCUUCUGGAGACUCCUAGAAUGGGAAGAGUGUGGAAGGUUCUAGAGAAGUCUGGAAAAGUCCACACAAUUCUACACUAUGGUGGAAGGCACAAGAGGAGUCCGGGGCUUUCUAGAGAAGUCUAGAAGACUCUUGUAUAUACUUGUAUAUAGGCUUGUAACUAGAAUGAUGUAGGACAUUCUAGAAUAGUCUUGAAAUGUAAGGAACCCUCCAAGGUUCCAGAGAGUUCCAUUGGUGCCUAUAAAUAGGUGAGGGCCUCNNNNNNNNNNNNNNNNNNNNNNNNNNNNNNNNNNNNNNNNNNNNNNNNNNNNNNNNNNNNNNNNNNNNNNNNNNNNNNNNNNNNNNNNNNNNNNNNNNNNUACCAGAAAGUGAGGCUAGCUGGGAGCCAGCAGAGGCACUAUGGCAGUUCCAGGAACAGAUCGAGCGGUUCCGGGCAGAAGGCGCGACGAGGACGUCUGCGGCAUAGGUGGGGGAGAGUGUCACAAGCUGACCCAAAUGAGCCUCCCCAUAGCCUUAUAUAGGGCCAGGAAGCUUCUGGAGACUCCUAGAAUGGGAAGAGUGUGGAAGGUUCUAGAGAAGUCUGGAAAAGUCCACACAAUUCUACACUAUGGUGGAAGGCACAAGAGGAGUCCGGGGCUUUCUAGAGAAGUCUAGAAGACUCUUGUAUAUACUUGUAUAUAGGCUUGUAACUAGAAUGAUGUAGGACAUUCUAGAAUAGUCUUGAAAUGUAAGGAACCCUCCAAGGUUCCAGAGAGUUCCAUUGGUGCCUAUAAAUAGGUGAGGGCCUCAUUUGGCCAAGGCACCAAGCAAGUGAGCAUCCAAGCACUUGUAAAGGCUUCCUUGAGAUAAUAAAGCUUCCAUUCUUUAAGAAGUUGCCUACCAAGCUUCUUAAGCUUUUGAGUCGCAAGUGUCUUAGCCGAGCAAGCUAAGCAUUGGGGAGCAAGGCUGACUUAGCAAGAUCAAGCGUCUUGGCUUGUCUAAGUGCCGCACGAGCUUAGUGAACGACUAAGUCCGUGACAAGUGGUAUCAGAGCGCGGUUACAAGGUGGGCAUACCAAAGGAAGCAUGUCGGGCUCUAACGUGGAGGAGACUAGCGAGCAAACCCGUGGACGGGAGAUAGAGCGGGCUGCACGAGGCCGAGGUAGGAAGGAUAAGUCUCAUGACGCCUUAGCCAACAUGGAGGCAAGGCUAGCCAAGGUGGAGCUAGCCAUGGCGGACACCCGGGAAGGGGUGGACUUGAUUGAGCAAGGCAUGGAGAAGGGAUUAGAGGAUCUAAGGGAACAGAUCCAAGACCUUCGCGAGGGAGUGCUAGGCUCACAAGUUCAGCCGGUGUCACAUGAGGAGUUCAUGUCCUUCCAAGACAAGGUCAUGACCAUGUUCGCUAGUGUGGAGUCAAGGAUGGAGGCCUUGGCUGCACGCAUGGAUACCCGAGACCAAGAGAUCCGACAAGAGCUGGCCAUCUACAAGACUGCGGUGUCAGCACGCGUCAUGGCCACUCAUGAGGCACCAAGGGUGGAGGUGCCCAAGCCACACACGUUCAGUGGCAAGAGGGAUGCCAAGGAACUGGAUAAUUUCUUGUGGCACAUGGAACGUUACUUUGAGGCCAUUGCAUUGACGGAUGAAGCCACUAAGGUACGCACCGCGACCCUCUACCUCACCGAUAAUGCUACUCUAUGGUGGCGUCGACGGUUUGCCGACAUAGAGAGAGGGACAUGCACCAUAGACACAUGGGAUGCCUUCAAGAGAGAAAUCAAGAGGCAAUUCUAUCCCGAAGAUGUGGCUUAUCUAGCAAGGAAGAGUUUGAAGCGUCUCAAGCACACGGGCUCGAUCCGUGAGUAUGUCAAAGAAUUCUCUACUCUUAUGCUUGAGAUACCUAACAUGGCUGAGGAGGAGCUGCUGUUCAACUUUAUGGACAACUUGCAAAGCUGGGCCGAGCAAGAGUUGAGGAGACGUGGUGUCCAAGACCUAGCCACGGCCAUGGCAGUAGCCGAGUCCUUAGUGGAUUAUAGAAGGGGAGACUCCUCCAAGCCCAAGCCACCAUCCAAGGGUAACCCGGCCAAAGGUGGGGGAGACAAGAGGUCGCAGGGCCACACUCCUAAGGAAGGAUCGAGCAAGGGCCCUAGUGGCAAGGAUGGCAAAGGCAAGGACAAGCGGAAGGAGUUCAAGCCCAGGACCAAUUGCUUCUUGUGCGAUGGUCCGCACUGGGCACGGGACUGCCCUAAGAGGAAGGCUUUAAAUGCUAUGAUCGAGGAGAAGGAGCAGGAAGACGAUGCUAAGAUGGGAUCGUUGCAGCUCCUAAAUGCCCUUAAGGCCAAGCCGACGCCUAAGACGCCUCAAAGCAAAGGGCUGAUGUACGUGGAGGCCCUUGUGAAUGGUAAGGCCACCAAGGCCCUGGUGGACACAGGUGCCACUCACAACUUUGUCUCGGAGGAUGAGGCAAAAAGGUUGGAGCUCCAAGCAUCCAAAGAAGGAGGAUGGCUCAAGGCAGUCAAUUCAGCCGCCCAGCCAUCGCAAGGAGUAACUCGCGGGGUGACUAUGCACAUUGGCUCGUGGGAAGGAAGGGUCGACUUCACAGUGGCACCCAUGGACGACUUCAAGAUGGUGCUAGGAAUGGAUUUCCUACAGAAGGUCAAGGCCGUGCCACUACCUUUCCUACGCUCAAUGGCUAUCCUAGAGGAGGAGAAGCCGUGCAUGGUCCCUACAGUCACUGAAGGUACGCUCAAGACCCCUAUGCUAUCUGCUAUGCAAGUAAAGAAGGGGUUAAAGAGGGAAGAGGUGACCUACCUCGCCACCUUAAAGGAAGAGAAGGAUGAUGGGUCGGGAGAACCCAUUCCUAAGGAAAUCGAGGGGGUCCUUGAUGAGUUCAAGGACGUGAUGCCGCCCGAGUUGCCUAAGAGACUUCCUCCUAGAAGAGAGGAAGAUCACAAGAUUGAGUUGGAGCCAGGAGCCAAGCCCCCUGCUAUGGGGCCAUAUAGGAUGGCACCACCUGAGUUGGAGGAGCUAAGGAGACAACUCAAGGAGUUGCUAGAUGCGGGGUUCAUCCAACCGUCCAAGGCUCCCUAUGGCGCGCCGGUCCUAUUUCAGAAGAAGCAUGAUGGGUCCCUACGAAUGUGCAUAGAUUACCGGGCACUCAAUAAGGUGACGGUGAAGAACAAGUAUCCCAUCCCUCUCAUUGCUGACUUGUUCGAUCAACUUGGAAGGGCCAGGUACUUCACGAAGCUGGACUUAAGGUCGGGCUACUACCAAGUCAGGAUUGCGGAGGGAGAUGAGCCGAAGACUACAUGUGUGACCAGGUAUGGCUCAUAUGAGUUCUUAGUGAUGCCUUUCGGACUCACCAAUGCCCCAGCAACGUUCUGCACCCUCAUGAACAAGAUCUUCCACCCAUACUUGGACAAGUUCGUGGUGGUGUACUUGGAUGACAUAGUCAUCUAUAGUAACACUCUAAAGGAGCACAAAGAACACUUGAGGAAGGUCUUUAAGAUCUUGAGGCAGAACGAGCUAUACGUAAAGAAGGAGAAAUGUUCGUUUGCUAAGGAGGAAGUGAGCUUCCUUGGGCAUCGCAUCAGAGAUGGCAAGCUGAUGAUGGAUAAUAGCAAGGUGAAGGCCAUCCAAGAAUGGGAUCCACCAACCAAGGUACCUCAACUCAGAUCUUUCCUUGGUCUAGUUAAUUAUUACCGGCGGUUCAUAAAGGGUUAUUCGGCAAGGGCUGCCCCACUCACUGAUCUCCUUAAGAAGAAUAAGGCAUGGGAAUGGGAUGAAAGGUGCCAACAAGCCUUUGAGGACUUGAAGAAGGCUGUGACUGAGGAGCCAGUGUUGGCACUACCCGACCACACCAAGGUCUUUGAGGUACACACAGAUGCUUCAGACUUCGCUAUUGGGGGAGUCCUUAUGCAAGAGAGGCACCCAAUCGCAUUUGAGAGUCGCAAGCUAAACGACGCAGAGAGGCGUUACACGGUGCAAGAAAAAGAGAUGACUGCUAUCGUCCACUGCUUGCGCACCUGGAGGCACUAUCUACUAGGGUCUCACUUCAUAGUGAAGACCGACAAUGUGGCCACUAGCUACUUCCAAACACAGAAGAAGCUGAGUCCUAAACAAGCUAGGUGGCAAGACUUCCUGGCUGAGUUCGACUAUACGCUGGAGUAUAAGCCAGGAAGUGCUAACCAUGUGGCCGACGCCCUAAGUCGCAAAGCCGAGCUAGCGUCCAUGACGAGUCAGCCCCAAGGAGAUAUAGUGGAUCUUCUAAGGGAGGGACUGCAACAUGAUCCAGUGGCUAAAAGCCUUAUCGCCCUGGCUCAUGAAGGAAAGACUAAGCGAUUUUGGGUGGAGGACGGCCUACUCUAUACCAAAGGGAGACGACUCUACGUGCCUAAGUGGGGGAACAUAAGGAGGAACCUGAUUAAGGAGUGCCACGACACCAAGUGGGCUGGGCACCCUGGGCAACGACGCACUAGGGCACUACUCGAGUCGGCGUACUAUUGGCCUCAAAUACGGGAUGAGGUUGAGGCCUAUGUGAGGACUUGUCUUGUGUGCCAACAAGACAAGGUGGAGCAGCGACAACCUAGAGGCCUGUUAGAGCCACUACCUAUAGCAGAGCGCCCAUGGGACAGCGUCACCAUGGACUUCAUCAUCGGGCUACCCAAGUCAGAGGACAAUGGGUCUAUCAUAGUGGUGGUAGACAGGUUCUCUAAGUACGCAACCUUCAUAGCAGCCCCGACUGACUGCACGGCAGAAGAGACGGCAAGGCUAUUCCUAAAGCACGUAGUCAAGUAUUGGGGGUUGCCUAAGUUCAUCAUCAGUGAUCGCGACCCACGCUUCACUGGGAAGUUUUGGACGGAACUCUUCAAGCUUAUGGGUUCGGAGCUUCACUUCUCCACAAGCUUUCACCCACAGACAGAUGGACAGACUGAGAGGGUGAACGCCUUAUUGGAGCUCUACCUAAGGCACUUCGUGAGUGCCAACCAGAAGGAUUGGGCUAAGCUGCUAGAUGUAGCCCAGUUCUCAUACAACCUACAAAGGAGUGAGGCGACCAACAAGAGUCCGUUCGAGCUAGCUACGGGACAGCAACCGUUAACUCCUCACACCCUAACAAUUGGCUACACGGGGAGAAGUCCAGCGGCUUUCAAGUUCGCAAAAGGGUGGCACGAGCAAGCUGAUAUAGCACGCUCAUACUUGGACAAGGCCGCUAAGAAAAUGAAGAAGUGGGCUGACAAGAAGCGACGACACACGGAGUAUAAGGUCGGAGACAUGGUGCUUGUCAAGCUCCUUCCUCAACAAUUCAAGUCCCUAAGGCCGGUGCACAAGGGCCUUGUGAGGAGGUAUGAAGGACCCUUCCCCAUACUUGGGAAGGUCGGCAAGGUGUCCUAUAGAGUCGAGCUGCCCCCGAGGUUGAAGAUUCAUCCUGUCUUCCAUGCCAGCUAUUUGAAGCCCUAUCAUGAAGACAAGGAUAAUCCAAGCCGAGGGUUGUCCAAGAGGGCACCUACAGCGGUUGUGACCUCCUAUGAUAAGGAGGUAGAACUCAUCCUCGCAGACCGGGUCAUCAGGAGACGAGGGGUACCUCCUGCUACAGAAUACUUAGUGAAAUGGAAAGGACUACCAGAAAGUGAGGCUAGCUGGGAGCCAGCAGAGGCACUAUGGCAGUUCCAGGAACAGAUCGAGCGGUUCCGGGCAGAAGGCGCGACGAGGACGUCUGCGGCAUAGGUGGGGGAGAGUGUCACAAGCUGACCCAAAUGAGCCUCCCCAUAGCCUUAUAUAGGGCCAGGAAGCUUCUGGAGACUCCUAGAAUGGGAAGAGUGUGGAAGGUUCUAGAGAAGUCUGGAAAAGUCCACACAAUUCUACACUAUGGUGGAAGGCACAAGAGGAGUCCGGGGCUUUCUAGAGAAGUCUAGAAGACUCUUGUAUAUACUUGUAUAUAGGCUUGUAACUAGAAUGAUGUAGGACAUUCUAGAAUAGUCUUGAAAUGUAAGGAACCCUCCAAGGUUCCAGAGAGUUCCAUUGGUGCCUAUAAAUAGGUGAGGGCCUCAUUUGGCCAAGGCACCAAGCAAGUGAGCAUCCAAGCACUUGUAAAGGCUUCCUUGAGAUAAUAAAGCUUCCAUUCUUUAAGAAGUUGCCUACCAAGCUUCUUAAGCUUUUGAGUCGCAAGUGUCUUAGCCGAGCAAGCUAAGCAUUGGGGAGCAAGGCUGACUUAGCAAGAUCAAGCGUCUUGGCUUGUCUAAGUGCCGCACGAGCUUAGUGAACGACUAAGUCCGUGACAUAGAGCUAGGAAAGGUAUGAUAUGGCCUUGGGCCAUGAAAGGGAGCAUCACUAUAUGCUCAUGUUGAGAACCCAUCUCCUGAUUUCUCCUAUGGAUGUGACUGAGUCCUCAGACUUGGUAUAUAUUCUAUGGCUAUGGGGCUUUGUAUAGGUAAAGAACCCUUUUUCUGGUGGCGGUGAUACAAUAGAGACUAACGGGUAAAUGCUGAGACAUAUACUAAAAAACUUUUGGAGCUUGAAGCAUGGAAACCUAUUCUUUUGUUGUGGAGGUGGUGGUGAAUCAGUGAUGGCUAGGUAGCAUAGAUAAGGUUAGACAGUAGGUCUGGACAUGAAACACGCUUCUUCUUGAUACUUUGUAAUGGAAAGAAACCUUUCGGCGUGGUUGGAAUGGUGGGGAUGGCUCAGGGAUUAGGGAGUGG
RNAcentral lists this long non-coding RNA (18644 nucleotides) under Vitis vinifera (wine grape). Its description in RNAcentral is "long non-coding RNA (VVIN_LNC001578)". The record is from RNAcentral. Lineage: Eukaryota; Viridiplantae; Streptophyta; Magnoliopsida; Vitales; Vitaceae.